Molecule: ribosomal RNA, 468 nt
Filed under: uncultured bacterium
Lineage: Bacteria
Description: partial 16S ribosomal RNA
Rfam family: Bacterial small subunit ribosomal RNA
Source: RNAcentral
GACGAACGCUGGCGGCGUGCUUAACACAUGCAAGUCGAACGGAAAGGCCCUGCUUUUGUGGGGUGCUCGAGUGGCGAACGGGUGAGUAACACGUGAGUAACCUGCCCUUGACUUUGGGAUAACUUCAGGAAACUGGGGCUAAUACCGGAUAGGAGCUCCUGCUGCAUGGUGGGGGUUGGAAAGUUUCGGCGGUUGGGGAUGGACUCGCGGCUUAUCAGCUUGUUGGUGGGGUAGUGGCUUACCAAGGCUUUGACGGGUAGCCGGCCUGAGAGGGUGACCGGCCACAUUGGGACUGAGAUACGGCCCAGACUCCAACGGGAGGCAGCAGUGGAGAAUAUUGCACAAUGGGCGGAAGCCUGAUGCGGCAACGCCGCGUGCGGGAUGACGGCCUUCGGGUUGUAAACCGCUUUCGCCUGUGACGAAGCGUGAGUGACGGUAAUGGGUAAAGAAGCACCGGCUAACUACGUG